GGGUGGGGCCUGUAACUCAGAGGAUUAGAGCACGUGACUACGAACCACGGUGUCGGGGGUUUGAAUCCCUCCUCGCCCA
Molecule: transfer RNA, 79 nt
Filed under: Datura stramonium (jimsonweed)
Lineage: Eukaryota; Viridiplantae; Streptophyta; Magnoliopsida; Solanales; Solanaceae
Description: tRNA-Arg
Rfam family: tRNA
About the family: Transfer RNA (tRNA) molecules are approximately 80 nucleotides in length. Their secondary structure includes four short double-helical elements and three loops (D, anti-codon, and T loops).
Source: RNAcentral